Molecule: non-coding RNA, 28 nt
Filed under: Homo sapiens (human)
Lineage: Eukaryota; Metazoa; Chordata; Mammalia; Primates; Hominidae
Source: RNAcentral
UACCCAGUCUGGAUAGCCUACAACGCUU